This 465-nucleotide ribosomal RNA is filed under the name uncultured bacterium. RNAcentral describes it as "partial 16S ribosomal RNA". It matches the Rfam family "Bacterial small subunit ribosomal RNA", at positions 338 to 795 of the family's 1533-position model. The record is from RNAcentral.
CCUACGGGUGGCAGCAGUAGGGAAUCUUCCACAAUGGGCGAAAGCCUGAUGGAGCAACGCCGCGUGGGUGAAGAAGGUCUUCGGAUCGUAAAACUCUGUUGUUAGAGAAGAAAGUGCGUGAGAGUAACUGUUCACGUUUCGACGGAAUCUAACCAGAAAGCCACGGCUAACUACGGGCCAGCAGCGGCGGUAAUACGGAGGUGGCAAGCGUUGUCCGGAUUUAUUGGGCGUAAAGGGAACGUAGGCGGGUUUUUAAGUCUGAUGUGAAAGGCUGCGGCUUAACCGGAGUAGUGCAUUGGAAACUGGGAGACUUGAGUGCAGAAGAGGAGAGUGGAACUCCAUGUGUAGCGGUGAAAUGCGUAGAUAUAUGGAAGAACACCAGUGGCGAAAGCGGCUCUCUGGUCUGUAACUGACGCUGAGGUUCGAAAGCGUGGGUAGCAAACAGGAUUAGAUACCCUUGUAGUC